RNAcentral lists this ribosomal RNA (493 nucleotides) under uncultured bacterium. RNAcentral describes it as "partial 16S ribosomal RNA". It matches the Rfam family "Bacterial small subunit ribosomal RNA", at positions 28 to 507 of the family's 1533-position model. The record is from RNAcentral.
GACGAACGCUGGCGGCGUGCUUAACACAUGCAAGUCGAACGGUGAAGCACCUUCCUUUUGGUGGGUGUGGAUGAGUGGCGAACGGGUGAGUAACACGUGAGUAACCUGCCCCCUUCUUCUGGAUAACCGCAUGAAAGUGUGGCUAAUACGGGAUAUUCUGGGUCUGUCGCAUGGCGGGCCUGGGAAAGAUAUUGUUUCGGGGGGGGAUGGGCUCGCGGUCUAUCAGCUUGUUGGUGGGGUGAUGGCCUACCAAGGCGGUGACGGGUAGCCGGCCUGAGAGGGUGGACGGUCACACUGGGACUGAGACACGGCCCAGACUCCUACGGGAGGCAGCAGUGGGGAAUAUUGCACAAUGGGCGCAAGCCUGAUGCAGCGACGCCGCGUGAGGGAUGGAGGCCUUCGGGUUGUAAACCUCUUUCGCCAGUGAAGCAGGCCUGUCCCUUUUGUGGGUGGGUUGACGGUAGCUGGAUAAGAAGCGCCGGCUAACUACGUG